RNAcentral lists this ribosomal RNA (775 nucleotides) under uncultured Neocallimastigales. Its description in RNAcentral is "partial large subunit ribosomal RNA". It matches the Rfam family "Eukaryotic large subunit ribosomal RNA", at positions 24 to 631 of the family's 3401-position model. Lineage: Eukaryota; Fungi; Neocallimastigomycota; Neocallimastigomycetes; Neocallimastigales. The record is from RNAcentral.
UAUGUGAUCGUCUCUCGCAUAUCAAUAAGCGGAGGAAAAGAAACUAACAAGGAUUCCCCUAGUAACGGCGAGUGAAGCGGGAAGAGCUCAAAUUUGAAAUCUUAAAGGGUUUCCCUUUACGAAUUGUAGUUUAAAGAAGUGUUUUCUGUUGAGGUUUUGGUAAAAGUUCUUUGGAAUAGGACAUCAUAGAGGGUGAGAAUCCCGUAUUUGACCUUUACUUUCAACUUUGUGAUACACUUUCAAAGAGUCGGAUUGUUUGGGAAUGCAGUCCAAAAUGGGUGGUAAAUUUCAUCUAAAGCUAAAUAUUGGCGAGAGACCGAUAGCGAACAAGUACCGUGAGGGAAAGAUGAAAAGAACUUUGAAAAGAGAGUUAAACAGUACGUGAAAUUGUCAAAAGGGAAGCGUUUGACACCAGUGUCGUUUUUCUGAAAAUCAAUUAAAGAACUGUUUAUGCUAAGCUGUUUAGACUUUAUCAGCUAUCUGUUUAGUUUUGAGCUUUUCUUUAAUGCACUUUUCAGUUAACAAGUCAACAUCAAUUUCUUUUGCUGUAAAAAAGCUUGAGGAAGGUGGCUUGAGAUUCGUCUUAAGUGUUUAUAGCCUCUUGCCUAUGCAGUCGGAGAGAUUGAGGUCUGCAGCGUAGAUCCUUCGGGGCUAAAUGCAUUUGUGCUAAGUUAUAGCAUUUUAUAGACAACUUGUUGACUAUGAUUUGUCUUGUAGCUUACAUCGCUUAUGUUAUUUUACCUACGCUUAGGAUGUUGAUCUACAGAGCGAGAGU